Molecule: ribosomal RNA, 555 nt
Filed under: uncultured bacterium
Lineage: Bacteria
Description: bacterial SSU rRNA
Rfam family: Bacterial small subunit ribosomal RNA
Source: RNAcentral
GCAGCAGUGGGGAAUCUUGCGCAAUGGGCGAAAGCCUGACGCAGCCAUGCCGCGUGAAUGAUGAAGGUCUUAGGAUUGUAAAAUUCUUUCACCGGGGACGAUAAUGACGGUACCCGGAGAAGAAGCCCCGGCUAACUUCGUGCCAGCAGCCGCGGUAAUACGAAGGGGGCUAGCGUUGCUCGGAAUUACUGGGCGUAAAGGGAGCGUAGGCGGACUGUUUAGUCAGAGGUGAAAGCCCAGGGCUCAACCUUGGAAUUGCCUUUGAUACUGGCAGUCUUGAGUACNGAAGAGGUAUGUGGAACUCCGAGUGUAGAGGUGAAAUUCGUAGAUAUUCGGAAGAACACCAGUGGCGAAGGCGACAUACUGGUCCGUUACUGACGCUGAGGCUCGAAAGCGUGNGGAGCAAACAGGAUUAGAUACCCUGGUANUCCACGCCGNAAACGAUGAGUGCUANUUGUCNGCAUGCAUGCAUGUCGGUUGACNCANCUAACGCCAUUAAGCACUCCGCCUUGUGGGAGUACGGUCGCNAGNAUUAAAACUCANAGGAAUUGACGG